GCUUGUGUAUUAAUUUGCCUGUAACUAAAUCAGAAUUCCAUUAUGUUUACAUAAAAAAGAGAAUCCUUCAAAAUGAGAAGAUCCUGCUAUGGAAAAGAUGACUGGGUGGAAAGGAGUGGAAAGUGGAAAGGAGGGGAAAUAACUCCCACCAUGCAGCAGGACACCUUCAGCUGUGGGGUCUUUGUAAUGCAGCUGGUCAAGGAAGUUGCACAGAACUUCCCCAACAUCCCCUCCCAAAUUGAUAUGGAACCUUCAAAAACACAUGGAGCAACUACGAAAAUAAAUGGCUGAGGAUAUACUAAAAAUGUCUGAGUUCAACAAAGCCAACAACUGCUUCAUGUGUGCCACUGAUAAAGAACCUGGAUGUGGCCCAAAGACUGACUGGAUUGCAUGUUUUGCAUACCAACGGUGGUUCCAUGUGAUGUCACUAGGAAUGAAGACAAAAUAGUUCAGAGUAAAGAACACAAACUGGAAGUGCAGUCUUUGUUGUUGGAAAUGUAUGCUUAUACCCCAUCCACACUGAAGAGGCUCUGACAUGUACAUCAAACAGGAAUAAAGAGAAAGUUAACUUCAAAUAAGUAUGAAACAUUUCAGUGUUACGUGUCUGUUGACAUGUUGGAAAAGAUUAAAGGUCUACAAUUUCUGUUUAAUUUGUCAAUAUUACAUUUGUAUUCAUUGAUUUACUGGCCACCAUUACUGUGGUUACAUGUUCAGUAUAUGUAUUGACCAGCAAGCCACUGCAGCCUACCUCACCAGCUCACUCU
Non-coding RNA from Oncorhynchus mykiss (rainbow trout), 764 nucleotides. The record is from RefSeq and is a predicted model, not a curated record. Lineage: Eukaryota; Metazoa; Chordata; Actinopteri; Salmoniformes; Salmonidae.